UCAUGUUCAACCAGACUAAAACACAGAUAAUGUCUUGGUGUAAAAGAUGGAGACUCAUGUUCAACCAGACUAAAACACAGAUAAUGUCUUGUUGGUAAAGAUGGAGACUCAUGUUCAACCAGACUAAAACACAGAUAAUGUCUUGGUCUAAAAGAUGGAGACUCAUGUUCAACCAGAAUAAAACACAGAUAAUGACUUGGUCUAAAAGAGACUCGUGUUCAACCAGACUAAAACACAGAUAAUGUCUUGGUGUAAAAGAGACUCAUGUUCAACCAGACUAAAACAGAUAAUGACUUGGUGUAAAAGAUGGAGACUAAGUGUUUUUCAGUUUUGUUUUGGUGAAGACAUUCUUGAGUUUACAAGCAAUUAUAAACAUUUGUGUAUUUUUAUUGAUGAACAUAUGACCUUUUCCAUACGGAACAUCUGACCUGGCCGACUCAGGAAGUAGAGCUCUUGGGGGAGUUUGAUAGGAAAAACAAACACUAAGAUAUUGGUUAUGCUACGUAUUCUAAACUGUGUCAGACAUGCGUGUGUCCUGUUCUGGACUAUUCAGUAGGAGUGUGGGGUGCUAAGAGGUGUGAGUGUGGGGUGCUAAGAGGUGUGAGUGUGGGGUGCUAAGAGGUGUGAGUGUGGGGUGCUAAGAGGUGUGAGUGUGGGGUGCUAAGAGGUGUGAGUGUGGGGUGCUAAGAGGUGUGAGUGUGGGGUGCUAAGAGGUGUGAGUGUGGGGUGCUAAGAGGUGUGAGUGUGGGGUGCUAAGAGGUGUGAGUGUGGGGUGCUAAGAGGUGUGAGUGUGGGGUGCUAAGAGGUGUGAGUGUGGGGUGCUAAGAGGUGUGAGUGUGGGGUGCUAAGAGGUGUGAGUGUGGGGUGCUAAGAGGUGUGAGUGUGGGGUGCUAAGAGGUGUGAGUGUGGGGUGCCAAGAGGUGUGAGUGUGGGGUGCUAAGAGGUGUGAGUGUGGGGUGCUAAGAGGUGUGAGUGUGGGGUGCUAAGAGGUGUGAGUGUGGGGUGCUAAGAGGUGUGAGUGUGGGGUGCUAAGAGGUGUGAGUGUGGGGUGCCAAGAGGUGUGAGUG
Oncorhynchus keta (chum salmon) is the source of this 1067-nucleotide long non-coding RNA. RefSeq lists it as uncharacterized. The record is from RefSeq and is a predicted model, not a curated record. The transcript has 3 exons. NCBI's taxonomy places the organism in Eukaryota, Metazoa, Chordata, Actinopteri, Salmoniformes, Salmonidae.